GUUUAUGUAGCUUAAUUAUUAAAAGCAAGACACUGAAAAUGUCUAGACAGACUUAUUACCCCAUAAACA
Molecule: transfer RNA, 69 nt
Organism: Nomascus leucogenys (northern white-cheeked gibbon)
Lineage: Eukaryota; Metazoa; Chordata; Mammalia; Primates; Hylobatidae
Rfam family: tRNA
About the family: Transfer RNA (tRNA) molecules are approximately 80 nucleotides in length.
Source: Rfam